Molecule: ribosomal RNA, 227 nt
Filed under: uncultured bacterium
Lineage: Bacteria
Description: partial 16S ribosomal RNA
Rfam family: Bacterial small subunit ribosomal RNA
Source: RNAcentral
UACGAAGGGGGCUAGCGUUGUUCGGAAUUACUGGGCGUAAAGCGCACGUAGGCGGAUACUUAAGUCAGGGGUGAAAUCCCGGGGCUCAACCCCGGAACUGCCUUUGAUACUGGGUAUCUCGAGUCCGGAAGAGGUGAGUGGAAUUCCGAGUGUAGAGGUGAAAUUCGUAGAUAUUCGGAGGAACACCAGUGGCGAAGGCGGCUCACUGGUCCGGUACUGGACGCUGA